GAUGAACGCUGGCGGCGUGCCUAAUACAUGCAAGUCGAGCGAACAGACGAGGAGCUUGCUCCUCUGACGUUAGCGGCGGACGGGUGAGUAACACGUGGAUAACCUACCUAUAAGACUGGGAUCACUUCGGGAAACCGGAGCUUAUACCGGAUAAUAUAUUGAACCGCAUGGUUCAAUAGUGAAAGACGGUUUUGCUGUCACUUAUAGAUGGAUCCGCGCUGCAUUAGCUAGUUGGUAAGGUAACGGCUUACCAAGGCAACGAUGCGUAGCCGACCGGAGAGGGUGAUCGGCCACACUGGAACUGAGACAGGGUCCAGACUCCUACGGGAGGCAGCAGUAGGGAAUCUUCCGCAAUGGGCGAAAGCCUGACGGAGCAGCGCCGCGUGAGUGAUGAAGGUCUUCGGAUCGUAAAACUCUGUUAUUAGGGAAGAACAAAUGUGUAAGUAACUAUGCACGUCUUGACGGUACCUAAUCAGAAAGCCACGGCUAACUACGUG
Molecule: ribosomal RNA, 497 nt
Filed under: uncultured bacterium
Lineage: Bacteria
Description: partial 16S ribosomal RNA
Rfam family: Bacterial small subunit ribosomal RNA
Source: RNAcentral